Molecule: non-coding RNA, 351 nt
Organism: Tinamus guttatus (white-throated tinamou)
Lineage: Eukaryota; Metazoa; Chordata; Aves; Tinamiformes; Tinamidae
Source: RefSeq, a predicted model, not a curated record
UUCUUUUCCCUUCAUGUCUCCCUGUCUCCUGAACUCACCACGUUGCACUUGGCAGGGGUGUUUUGGGGCCACCACAAGCCCCUUGUGUGAAAUGGCAGAGCUGGGGAGGAAUGAGGCUAGGCAGAGUUGCCCUGCGCUAGAUGAGGAAAACGUUAGUUCAAUUAAGCCUUUCUUUCACUCUACUAAUUACUGUGGCAUUUGUAAACAUAUGCCUGAUGGUGCUUUAUCUUUGAGAUGGCUUCGACUCUACUUCUGAAGGCCAUUCUUGCUAGAGCUGCCUACGAUUAUUAUUUCCAUAGGUGCAGCAUACAGAAACAUGGCCCCAUGGUGGGUCCAUGAUCCCAUGUUCCA